GUCAUCAAAAAGGUUUUUCGACAACCAGUCAGACCUAUUUGUUUUCUGCGGAAUCUUCCUGCCGCGCAAUCGCCAGACAGCAUCGGAAUCACAAGACGUACCCGGCGUAGGAAAGUUUCGACAGCUUUGAGAGCACAAACGAUAGUGGACUCCCAGGGCAACUAUUCAUCCAUCUAAUUUGAAGAGGUAACUGUACCGACUGCAAUCGCUUCCGGUCCGGUCCAAGGAGACUCAACAUCUGGCGCUGAAACCCUUCAUCAGUUGUUCGGAUGGAACUGUCCGCCAACAAACAUCGUCCAAUGUACCGGUUCAAGAAUUCUUAUCCUGGUGAAAAUCGAUUAUCUAAAUGAUGAACAUGUAUGGGAGAGUGGGGAAUCAUGG
Uranotaenia lowii is the source of this 381-nucleotide long non-coding RNA. RefSeq lists it as uncharacterized. The transcript is spliced from 3 exons. NCBI's taxonomy places the organism in Eukaryota, Metazoa, Arthropoda, Insecta, Diptera, Culicidae. The record is from RefSeq and is a predicted model, not a curated record.